RNAcentral lists this ribosomal RNA (1334 nucleotides) under uncultured bacterium. Its description in RNAcentral is "bacterial SSU rRNA". It matches the Rfam family "Bacterial small subunit ribosomal RNA", at positions 28 to 1381 of the family's 1533-position model. The record is from RNAcentral.
GACGAACGCUGGCGGCGUGCUUAACACAUGCAAGUCGAGCGGUGAACCCUUCGGGGGGAUCAGCGGCGAACGGGUGAGUAACACGUGGGCAACCUGCCCCUGACUCUGGGAUAGCCUCGGGAAACCGGGAUUAAUACCGGAUAUGACACCUCCUCGCAUGGGGUGGUGUGGAAAGUUUUUCGGUCAGGGAUGGGCUCGCGGCCUAUCAGCUUGUUGGUGGGGUGAUGGCCUACCAAGGCGACGACGGGUAGCCGGCCUGAGAGGGUGACCGGCCACACUGGGACUGAGACACGGCCCAGACUCCUACGGGAGGCAGCAGUGGGGAAUAUUGCGCAAUGGGCGAAAGCCUGACGCAGCGACGCCGCGUGAGGGAUGAAGGCCUUCGGGUUGUAAACCUCUUUCAGCAGGGAAGAAGCGAAAGUGACGGUACCUGCAGAAGAAGCACCGGCUAACUACGUGCCAGCAGCCGCGGUAAUACGUAGGGUGCAAGCGUUGUCCGGAAUUAUUGGGCGUAAAGAGCUCGUAGGCGGUUUGUCGCGUCUGCUGUGAAAACGCGGGGCUCAACUCCGCGCCUGCAGUGGGUACGGGCAGACUAGAGUGCAGUAGGGGAGACUGGAAUUCCUGGUGUAGCGGUGGAAUGCGCAGAUAUCAGGAGGAACACCGGUGGCGAAGGCGGGUCUCUGGGCUGUAACUGACGCUGAGGAGCGAAAGCGUGGGUAGCGAACAGGAUUAGAUACCCUGGUAGUCCACGCCGUAAACGUUGGGCGCUAGGUGUGGGGCUCAUUCCACGAGUUCCGUGCCGCAGCAAACGCAUUAAGCGCCCCGCCUGGGGAGUACGGCCGCAAGGCUAAAACUCAAAGGAAUUGACGGGGCCCCGCACAAGCGGCGGAGCAUGCGGAUUAAUUCGAUGCAACGCGAAGAACCUUACCAAGGCUUGACAUGCAGGGUAAUCCGGCAGAGAUGUCGGGUCCGCAAGGGAUCUUGCACAGGUGGUGCAUGGUUGUCGUCAGCUCGUGUCGUGAGAUGUUGGGUUAAGUCCCGCAACGAGCGCAACCCUCGUCCUAUGUUGCCAGCGCGUGAUGGCGGGGACUCAUAGGAGACUGCCGGGCUCAACUCGGAGGAAGGUGGGGAUGACGUCAAAUCAUCACGCCCCUUAUGUCUUGGGCUUCACGCAUGCUACAAUGGCCAGUACAAAGGGCUGCGAGACCGUGAGGUGGAGCGAAUCCCAAAAAGCUGGUCUCAGUUCGGAUCGGGGUCUGCAACUCGACCCCGUGAAGUCGGAGUCGCUAGUAAUCGCAGAUCAGCAACGCUGCGGUGAAUACGUUCCCGGGGCU